Small nuclear RNA from Gracilinanus agilis (Agile Gracile Mouse Opossum), 108 nucleotides. Lineage: Eukaryota; Metazoa; Chordata; Mammalia; Didelphimorphia; Didelphidae. The record is from RefSeq and is a predicted model, not a curated record.
GUGCUUGCUUUGGCAGCAUAUAUACUAAAAUUGGAACUAUACAGAGAAGAUUAGCAAAGGACCCUGAACAAGGACAACACACAAAUUCUUGAAAUGUUCUAUAAAAAA